UCGGAAUUACUGGGCGUAAAGCGCGCGUAGGUGGUUUGUCAGUCAGAUGUGAAAGCCCAGGGCUCAACCCUGGAACUGCACCUGAUACUGCAAGACUAGAGUACAAUAGAGGGGAGUGGAAUUCCGGUGUAGCGGUGAAAUGCGUAGAUACUCGGAGGAACACCAGUGGCGAAGGCGGCUCACUGGCUCGAUACUGACGCUGAGGUACGAAAGUGUGGGGAGCAAACAGGAUUAGAUACCCUGGUAGUCCACACCGUAAACGAUGAAUGCCAGUCGUCGGGUAGCAUGCUAUUCGGUGACACACCUAACGGAUUAAGCAUUCCGCCUGGGGAGUACGGUCGCAAGAUUGAAACUCAAAGGAAUUGACGGGGGCCCGCACAAGCGGUGGAGCAUGUGGUUUAAUUCGAUGAUACGCGAGGAACCUUACCAGGGCUUAAAUGUAAGAUGCAUUAGUUAGAGAUAGCUAUUUCUUCGGACUUCUUACAAGGUGCUGCAUGGUU
Molecule: ribosomal RNA, 500 nt
Filed under: uncultured Paracoccaceae bacterium
Lineage: Bacteria; Pseudomonadati; Pseudomonadota; Alphaproteobacteria; Rhodobacterales; Paracoccaceae
Description: bacterial SSU rRNA
Rfam family: Bacterial small subunit ribosomal RNA
Source: RNAcentral